Long non-coding RNA from Drosophila mojavensis, 496 nucleotides. RefSeq lists it as uncharacterized. The transcript has 2 exons. The record is from RefSeq and is a predicted model, not a curated record. NCBI's taxonomy places the organism in Eukaryota, Metazoa, Arthropoda, Insecta, Diptera, Drosophilidae.
GAUAAGCUUCAUUGAGUACAUGUAGCCAGCAAUCAAAUCGUUUCGAAACUCAGGAACCGUGCGAGGCAAAGUGCAAGGAGUAGAUUUACUUAAACCAAAAACUGAUACACUAAAUAAAUCAAAAAGCGUGGCAAAAAGUUUCUUAAGGUCAAUUCGAUACAGUUUUGCUUCGUCGUUUUGCUGAAUAAUAUGUAAACGCAUUUUAAAAUUAGAUUCGUUUUAGUUCAUAUAUAAACUAAUACAUACAUAGAUAACGUAUUAUAAAUAUUUCUGCUCCCAGUAAGUCGAGUUAGUUGCUCUAAAACCUGUACAAAAUGAAAUUCGCAGCAUCACUUUGUGUACUCCUCGCUCUAUUUGGCCUAUCCCUCGCUGCUCCGCGGAAUGCCUGUCAGCCAUGCCUUUUGUAAAUUUGAAUGAAGACAUCGAUGUCGAUGUCCAUUAAUAUUUUCAAAAUCAAGCAUCGAUGUUGGAUUAAUACAUUGGAUUGAAAAUUCGA